GGUAGUCCACGCCGUAAACGAUGUCUACUAGCCGUUGGCCUCCUUGAGGGGUUAGUGGCGCAGCUAACGCAAUAAGUAGACCGCCUGGGGAGUACGGCCGCAAGGUUAAAACUCAAAUGAAUUGACGGGGGCCCGCACAAGCGGUGGAGCAUGUGGUUCAAUUCGAAGCAACGCGCAGAACCUUACCAACCUUUGACAUCCCGAUCGCGGGCACCAGAGAUGGAGCCUUUCAGUUCGGCUGGAACGGAGACAGGUGCUGCAUGGCUGUCGUCAGCUCGUGUCGUGAGAUGUUGGGUUAAGUCCCGCAACGAGCGCAACCUUCGCCCUUAGUUGCCAUCAUUCAGUUGGGCACUCUAAGGGGACUGCCGGUGAUAAGCCGGAGGAAGGUGGGGAUGACGUCAAGUCCUCAUGGCCCUUACAGGUUGGGCUACACACGUGCUACAAUGGCGGUGACAGAGGGAUGCAAUGGAGUAAUCCUGCGCAAAUCUCAAAAAGCCGUCUCAGUUCGGAUUGUGCUCUGCAACUCGAGCACAUGAAGUUGGAAUCGCUAGUAAUCGCAGAUCAGCACGCUGCGGUGAAUACGUUCCCGGGCCUUGUACACACCGCCCGUCACACCAUGGGAGU
This 624-nucleotide ribosomal RNA is filed under the name uncultured bacterium. RNAcentral describes it as "bacterial SSU rRNA". It matches the Rfam family "Bacterial small subunit ribosomal RNA", at positions 789 to 1411 of the family's 1533-position model. The record is from RNAcentral.